CUGACGGCGUGCUUGACUCCCGGGCGUCGAACGGUGAACCAGGUGCUUGCCCUUGGGGAUCAGUGGCGAACGGGUGAGUAACACGUGAGCAAUCUGCCCCUGACUCUGGGAUAAGCGCUGGAAACGGUGUCUAAUACUGGAUAUGAGCUGUGACCGCAUGGUCGGCAGUUGGAAAGAUUUUUCGGUCAGGGAUGAGCUCGCGGCCUAUCAGCUUGUUGGUGAGGUAAUGGCUCACCAAGGCGUCGACGGGUAGCCGGCCUGAGAGGGUGACCGGCCACACUGGGACUGAGACACGGCCCAGACUCCUACGGGAGGCAGCAGUGGGGAAUAUUGCACAAUGGGCGGAAGCCUGAUGCAGCAACGCCGCGUGAGGGAUGACGGCCUUCGGGUUGUAAACCUCUUUUAGCAGGGAAGAAGCUUUUGUGACGGUACCUGCAGAAAAAGCGCCGGCUAACUACGUGCCAGCAGCCGCGGUAAUACGUAGGGCGCAAGCGUUAUCCGGAAUUAUUGGGCGUAAAGAGCUCGUAGGCGGUUUGUCGCGUCUGCUGUGAAAUCCCGAGGCUCAACCUCGGGCCUGCAGUGGGUACGGGCAGACUAGAGUGCGGUAGGGGAGAUUGGAAUUCCUGGUGUAGCGGUGGAAUGCGCAGAUAUCAGGAGGAACACCGAUGGCGAAGGCAGAUCUCUGGGCCGUAACUGACGCUGAGGAGCGAAAGGGUGGGGAGCAAACAGGCUUAGAUACCCUGGUAGUCCACCCCGUAAACGUUGGGAACUAGUUGUGGGGUCCAUUCCACGGAUUCCGUGACGCAGCUAACGCAUUAAGUUCCCCGCCUGGGGAGUACGGCGCAAGGCUAAAACUCAAAGGAAUUGACGGGGACCCGCACAAGCGGCGGAGCAUGCGGAUUAAUUCGAUGCAACGCGAAGAACCCUUACCAAGGCUUGACAUACACGAGAACG
This 954-nucleotide ribosomal RNA is filed under the name Microbacterium sp. R-2(2011). Its description in RNAcentral is "bacterial SSU rRNA". It matches the Rfam family "Bacterial small subunit ribosomal RNA", at positions 36 to 997 of the family's 1533-position model. The record is from RNAcentral. Lineage: Bacteria; Bacillati; Actinomycetota; Actinomycetes; Micrococcales; Microbacteriaceae.